UGGUCCCCGGACAAAUCGUCUGUCUUUGGCAGUUCGGCAGAGGAUGGAGUCUUGAACAUCUGGGAUCAUAACAAGGGACAAGGUGGUUGAUUUUCACUGGAAUGCACAUGAUCCAUGGACAAUUGUUAGCAUAUCUGACGAUGAUGAAAGUACUGGUGGGGGCGGGACCUUACAGAUAUGGCGGAUGAUCGAUUUAAUUUAUCAUCCACAGCAGGAGGUAAUUACGGAGCUCGAUAAAUUCAGAUCUCAUAUCCUCACUUGCUCAUCGCCGUAGAAUAGAACUUUUAGGAUUUAUUCAGAUUAUAAUGAUCUUGUGGAUUGUUGUUAAUAUCUUGAAUUUAUUGUACCGUUUAGAAUUCAUGGUGGGAUUUGCAGGAAGCUAAUAUGCAUUACAUCGUUGUGGAAACUCCAUCCCCUUAUCUGCUUGGUCAAUUCAACGA
Molecule: long non-coding RNA, 440 nt
Organism: Cynara cardunculus var. scolymus (artichoke)
Lineage: Eukaryota; Viridiplantae; Streptophyta; Magnoliopsida; Asterales; Asteraceae
Exons: 3
Source: RefSeq, a predicted model, not a curated record